Molecule: long non-coding RNA, 844 nt
Filed under: Mus caroli (Ryukyu mouse)
Lineage: Eukaryota; Metazoa; Chordata; Mammalia; Rodentia; Muridae
Description: lncRNA (MGP_CAROLIEiJ_G0002368.1)
Source: RNAcentral
GUUUUUCCAGUAAAGGGUAACUAACUGGCCUGGGAGGAAAAGCGCACUGCAGCAGGAUGAGCAAGCCCGUGCCAACCGGAACUGCCAGGGCUGCCCCACGGUGGCAACCUGCUAGCCACCACCUGUCCAGCCACCUGCCUGAGGAAGCCCUUCCAACAAGGAGGGUUCACCUGGGCAAGAAACCAUACGCAGUUCUCAAGAGGAACCAGAAAGGGAAAGCAAAGGGUGCAACUUUAUUCUUAGGGAAAGACAACAAAAAGACAUGUGUCUCUGUGCGUGCACUGCAUCCCGAGCGGCUGGAGUUCUCCACGGAGAGAGUUCUGUGCCCAGCGGGGGUGAGGACCCCGCAGCGGGCUGGGCAGUGGAGGGUGAGCCUGACACAGGUGAGUACGGGAAGCUGCACCCGGUGCUGAGACCUACAGACCCCCAGGCCUCGGGGAGCACGCGCCUGCGGCCCCCGCAGCGGUCCCCGCAGCGGCCCCAGCAGCACGCCGGGCCUCGGUCUCCUCAGCGGCGGCGCCCACCUGCGCCCAGUCCCCGCAGACCCGUCCCCGCGGCCCCGUCCUCGCGGCCCGGUCCCCGCGGUCCGUUAAGCCGCGGCGCGCUCGGCCCCGUAGCAGCGACCGCAGGACCUCGGGCCCGGCAGGGCCUGGGCGGCCGCUUGCACACGGUCACGGGCCUCGACAGGGACCGCGGCGUGAGGGGCGCGCGCCCGGCCGACGCCGCGGGCUCACCUUCUGCCGGAUCUGGCCCGACGUGGACACCUUACGGAUAAGCUUCUGCGGGGAGCCCGGCUCAGCCUCGGGUUCGCUGUCGGACGACUCCUCAGGCGGCGGCGGCGGAG